UACAACUGGAAGUUCAGUAAAAGCAAUUCCACAAGGAGCCAAAUUUAUACAGCCUGGGCAUCAGAUCUGGCGGUCUGGAUAGACCCACAGUUAAAAUUGGAUAUGUGGCCCAACCCUCCAGCAAGCUCAUAGAAUAUUGCAAAUUCAGCCUAUUUAAGACUGUUAGCAAGAAUCAGGAGACAAAAGUGACAUUUAUCUUAAAUUUUCAACCCUAGUGAAUUUUCCUGGUAGGCUGGGUUGGUUUUACACUUCUUUAACAGAUGAAGAAACUCAGGCUCAGAGAGCCUAUUUACGUGACCAGAAAAUAUCAGAGCCAGCUCUAAAUCGAUGUCUUAGGCAUCCCUUCCUCAGCCUUGCCCACCACACAUGCUUCAACAAAAGCGUUUAUGCCCUUAGGAUCUCUCUGCGGAUGGUGGGCCGCAGUACCCAGGAGGGUGUUGUCCUACACACUUGAGGAGAGCUAGUGAGAAGGGGAACUAGGCCCAGCCAGUGAGGAGGCACACUUUUUCCAGAGGUCCAUUGUAAUCCAACCCCCCACCCCUCUUCCUGGCACAACUCCUUGUACCCCAGGCAGGGAAGUAAGGCUAACAUUACACAGAUGGGGAAAUACUUCCACCUCCAAACAUAAAAAUGAUCUUGCAGCAUACACUUGACUUCACUCAUUUAUUCACUUUUCACUACAAGGUGGGAAUAGGUGGGCCCUCAGCUCGGGGAGUUCUGGGAGCUUUGCUAGAGGAGGAGAGGAAAACGGGAAAGUGGGGCCUUAUUGCAGGGUAGGCUUCUAAGGGAAAGAAGAUGGGGAGAAGAAAGGAGAGAGGAAACACGGAUCCAGGCCCGUCUUCCAUCUCUCGUCCAGGCUUCCCAAGCGCAAGUAGAAAGAGUGACAGGACACUCACACAGACAUGUCCUUGAUCCCUUCUCGUCCUUCCCCCACCAUCCAGCAAUAACGUGAGAGAAAUCAAAGAAGUACAGGAGGCGGGCAGCGGACAGUCUUGGUAAGGAAAAAAAAAAAAAAAACAGGUGCACUGGGCUCCAACGCACAGCUGAGACCUCCCUCCUCCCGGCUGGCGGCGGCGGGCGCAGGGAGGAGAGCGGCGCGAGCGCACGCGGGCCGGCCGCCGGGCCGUGCGGCGCCCUCAGCUGAGGACUGCCCUCUUCUUCCCGCCGCAGCCGCGCUCCGCCGCUUUCCGGCCCGGGCCGCUGUCCCCGCUGCCGCUGCUGCUGCUGGCGGGCGGGCGCAGCACGGUCCUCCGCACCACGGUCCUCCGCACGCGGUCCUCGGGCUCGCGCACGCGCGGAGCCGCCUGCAGCAGGAACUCGCCGCCGCGGUAGGUGACGCGCACGUCGGUGCGCGGGUACGUGCCGUACACGCGCCGCAGCUCCCGCCGCACAAAGUCGGGCAGCUCCAGGCGCGGACCCAGCGCACGCACCACGUGGCCCCAGCGCAGCUCAGCCUGUAGGCGGCCGCCCUCCGGCCACGGCGCCGCGCUCUCGGCCGCCGCCAUCCCUGCCGCUGCGGGCGCCUGAGGCGACGGCCCCAGGUAGCCGGGGGCGGCGUAGGCCUGCGGGAAGACCCACAAGGGCGGCACGGCCCCCAGGGGCGCACCCGGGCCGUGGAAGCAGUGGUAUUCCCGCGGGGCGCCCCACUCCCCCGCUCUCAGGCUCCGGGGCCGGCUGCAGAAGUUGUGGGCCUGGAUGGGGGGCAGCAGCAGAGGGGCCGGCAGGUAGGUGUAGGUGAGGGGCUGCAGCGGAGGCCAGAUGCCGUCCCCGGGCGCCAGGCAGCUGAACGAGUACAUGGUCUGAAGCUCAGGCGGCGGGCAUUUUUACUGCGGCCUGGGCCUGGUCCACACCUGUGGUGGGGGUGUGUGUGGAUACACUUUGUUCUUACCUCCGCCAUGCGUCCUUGCCGCCUGCUAACCCAGGGCUCCGGGUCACAGCAGGAGCCCGUGCGCUGCCUAGUGGCUUUGGGGAACUCCCCUUUAGGUGUUCAGCUCCCACCUUACCUGUUGUCCCAAGGCUGGGCCCGAACCCCAGGCUCCCAGCAGGCAAUGAGGACCCAAGGCUUUUUCAAGCCCUCAGCCCUGAAAUGCUCCUCCCAGGUAGCUCCCCGCUCGCUUGUCUCCUUCAGCCCCGAGAAACUGGUCCCCAACAUUUGGGGGAGCCGGAGAGGUCCAGAGCAGGAUUCCCCUCCACCACUUUUUAGUUGAACUCCCCUCCAUGGCCUGCCUCAGCCACACCUCCCGGUUUCCAGGCAAAGGGAAACACCUUGAGCUGGCCAGGAGCCAGCCAGCCUUUGUCUACAUUGGAUGAGCCUGCUGGCUCCAAGCUAGACGCUGAGGCCUUUACUCAUGGUUGGCUUCACCACAACUUGCCCACAUUCACCCAGCCAGUUACGAUCCAAUGUAAUCACAAGAGUCUUUAAAUGUCGAAGAGGGAGGCCAAAGAGUCGGAGUGAUGUAACAUGAGCGUUGACCAGCCAUUGCUGGCUUUGAAGAUGGAAGAGGGGCGCGAGCUGAGGAGUGCAGGCAGCCUCUAGAAGCUGGAAAAGGGGAAAAAAUGGAUUCUUCCCUGGAGCCUCCAGAAAGGAACGCAGUCCUGCCAACACUUUAAUUUUCGCCAGUGAGACCCAUUUCAGACUUCUGACCUCCACAACUGUAAGAUAAUAAAUUUGUAUUGUUUUAAGCCACUAGGUUUGUGGUAAUUUGUUACAGCACCAAUACGAAAUCCAUACAGCACCUCUCCACUCCUAUUUAUAACUUUGCCCUUCCCCCCAAAUCCCAACACCUGAGCAGUGUCCAAGCCUACCUAUAGACUGACCUCAACCCAGCCUGGAGCUCAAUAAUGGGCCCCUUGGGACUGGCCAGUUUCUCCACCUGUUCCUGCUCUCCCAGGUGGAUCUGGUCACACCUAGGUGGGAGGUGGGGAGGGUGUGAGACCAAGAUGGAACCUGGGAGGGUGAGAAACCUGUAUUUUCAUAUUUGACCCUACAUGCUUGCUGAAGACCUUUGCUGGUCUGGGGAGGAAGUCUGGCAAAAAGAGAAAAAUAAGGCCCAAGCUGUGAGUUUCUCCACAUUAGUUCAUCCUUGAUUCUAGUUAUAGUCCCCAGAUUUUUGGGGUCCCACAGCUUAUUCUCAGUAAAGUGAUCCUGGGGGAGUUGGCUCUAUUUUAUCACUAAUUAGUCAAUGAUUUAGGGCUAAACCAAUCAGCACUGUCAUCCCUCAGGCCGUUGUGAUUGCUUUGGGGUAGCCAUGUGACUCAAUUUGGGCUAACGGGAGCCAAGCCCAGGACUUUGUUCUCUUGUUGGGUGGAGAGGGAAGUGCUCUUUUCCUCCAGGACAGAAGUCUGAAAGAAAGCAUUCUGGAUUGAGAGGUGAAGGCCUGACUGAGCAUGGAGCCACAGAAGAAGUGGAGCCAGGGGACAGAGAGAGAAAUUGGGUCCUGAUUACAUCGUUUGAGUCCUGGACUUUAAAGUUACACGAACCAAUAAAUUCCUUUUUUGUUUAAUCUAGCUUGAGUGGAGUCUUCUGUUGCUUGCAUCCAUGAUACACCCC
This is a long non-coding RNA of Equus caballus (horse), 3550 nucleotides long. The record is from Ensembl. Lineage: Eukaryota; Metazoa; Chordata; Mammalia; Perissodactyla; Equidae.